Pseudopipra pipra is the source of this 6349-nucleotide long non-coding RNA. RefSeq lists it as uncharacterized. NCBI's taxonomy places the organism in Eukaryota, Metazoa, Chordata, Aves, Passeriformes, Pipridae. The transcript has 2 exons. The record is from RefSeq and is a predicted model, not a curated record.
CCUUCAUCCCGAUCCCGGUGCCCCGGGCUCCCGGCAGGUUCCCACGGUGCCGCCCGCCCCCGGGCCGCCCCUCGCCCCCCCCCCCCCGGGGAGGGGGCACCCCCGCCCGCCCUGCGCGCCCGGCUCCGCUCCUCCGUCUCUCCGGCUGUGCUUUUUCCUUAAUUUUCUUUAUUUUCCAUCCCCCCCCUUUUUAUUCUCAAUUUUUUCUCUUUUUUUUUGUUUGUUUGUUUUGGUUUGCUUGUUUUGUUUUGUUUUGGCGGUUUUGUUUUUUUCCCCUCUUUUUUUUUUCCAUUUGUUUCCUCUCUUCGCCCCCCGGACGAACACGAAAUUCCCUAUGGCCGCCCUCCGUCCCCGCAAGAGGCAGUGGAGCCCUGCGGAGCUCACAGCCCCCAGCCCCGCACCGGGCAUUGUCCCCCCUCCCGGCAUUCAGUUGCUUAUGUUUGGGUGUUGCAGAGACGAGCUGUUAUUUGCCUGCACUGAAGAUCUUGAUCAAGGGAACAAUGUUUCUAAGGAUCCUCAGCAGCUCUUUGCUGGAGGAAGCCAAUGGUUCCCAGCUCCACCAGAAACCCCCCCUGGGCUGUGCCAGGCACUUGCAUCCCACCAUCCAGGGGCUCCCACCACCACGAUAAGGACGGACACCCAUAUAUACAUAUAUAUAUAUAUAUAUAUAUAUCUCUGCCCCAACUCCCCCAUGCUCCCCACAAAAUUCCUUCACAUCCAGGAUUCCCUCAAUAAAUUGAGGCUUAUGAAGAAGAAGAGAAGCUCGAUUUACCUCCACUGGAGCAAGAGAAAGGAAAGAGAGGAGAAAAGAAACCUUUUUAAAAGAAACUUUAUAUUUUCCUAUCUGAGUCAAGUGAUGCCGCACUGGGAUUGGGGACUGUUGUUGGGUUCAUUUAAGAAUCUAUUGUUGUCCAUGUGAAUUCUUUUUUACAUUUCAAAUAACAGGAUUAUUUCCCCAGGGGGUAAUAUCCUGUAAUUUGAACACAAUAAUGGGAAUAAAUUACUUACUUAGAACUAAUAACGACAGCCUGAUUCCAAUAUAUAUAGGAACUGUAACAGCUUUGGUUAGUUAAAGUGUAAUUGUGUCGACGGAUGACAUUUUCUUUCAAAGGAAUCUGAAUGACUUUUAAUUAAAUUUGCUGGGGGUGGGGAAGAGAGGGAGAGAUACACUGGGAGAUCUCGGCUGCCGAGGCUGCGGCGGGUCCCAGCCCCGGUGCCCCAAGCUGAGCUCAGCCCCGAGCAAACCCAGCCCUGGCUGCAGUUUCCAAACCAAGCACAAAACAGGGAAGAAGGAAACCAGCGCCAAAGCCCAUGGCCCAGGGAUGGAGGGAUGGUGGGAUGGAGGAAUGGAGGGGGUAGAGAGGAUGAAGAGGGGUAGAAGGGAUAGAAGGAUGGAGCCCAGCCCACUUCCUGAGCUCCAUCCUGGCAGAGGGCAGGGCAAUGCCCAUAUCCUGCCCUGGGCACCCCUGCACUGCCUCUGCCUGUGCUGGGGAAUGGAGGAGCUGAUGGGGGCACCAGCAGCCAGGCAAGGAGGCUCUGCUGCUCUUGUUGGAGCCAUGAAAUCACAGAAUGGGUUGGGUUGGAAGGGACCAUAAAGACUACUUCAGGGUGUCCCAUGGGCAGGGACACCUUCCACUAUCCCAGGUUGCUCAAGUCCCAUCCAACCUGACCUUAAACAGUCCCAGGGAUGAGGCAGCCACAGCUUCCCUGGGGAACCUGUGUAAGUGCCUCACCACCCUCACAGGGAGGAAUUUCUCCCCAGUAUCUCAUCUAAUGCUGCCCUCUGGCACUGGGAAGCCAUUCUCCCUUUUCCUGUCCUUCCAGGCCCUUGUCCAAGUCCCUCUCCAGCUCUUGGAGCCCCUUUAGGCACUGCAAGGGGCUUUAAGGUCUCCCCAGAACUUUCUCCUCUCCAGGCUGAACAACCCCAACUCCCAAUAUUGCCACCUCAGCCCAGGGGUCCCUCAGGGAAGGCAGCUCUGCCCGAGGAGGACCUGCACCAGCAGCUCUCCAUCCCAGCUCCUCACCCCAGAACUCCCCUGCAAGCCCUGGGCUCUGCAUGUCUCCUCACCACUGCCUUCAUUGCCAACCACUCCUCAGGUUUAUUUCUGAAUCAGCAGCACGAGAGGUUCCCUUCAAAGGCAAAAAAAAAAAAGAAAAAAAAAAAAAGGGAUCUUUCAGCUGCAGCGCUGCAGAAAGCCAAGUUCCUGCCCCGAAAUAUGUCGGAGAGGAGCUGUGUGCUGCUGCCAGUGGCUCCAGCCUCCUCCAGGACUCAUUUUCCUCUGUUUAUCUUGAAAAUAUUUCUGUGCUGAGGUCCCACCCCGUGCGGCGGAGCCCUGCGAGGCCGCCUCCAGCCUCACACACGGCCUCUUGUUUAUCCACAGCCAGUUUUACAAAUAGCUUAUUAAGCCCAGAGGUCUGUUUGCUGGAGGAAAACCUCACGGAGCAGCUCCUGCAGCCCCCCCUCCGAGGCUCCUGCCAGCUGCGCCCCCUCCCAAAACCCCUCUGACAUGCACCGAGUGGCUCAGGCCUCUGUGGCUGCAGACAAAUGUCUGCUGGGUUUGGGAAUCGCUCAUGACAUAAUAAAAUAACCAGUGUGCUGGUGGAGGAGGUCCCACCACCCUCGUCCUCUCCCUGCUCCCAGGGUCGAUAUCCCGUCUGGGAUUUUGGCAUGGCACGGCGAUGCCGUGGCACUGCCAGCUCUGGUUUGUGGGACCCUGCAGUGGCAGCUGCCGGGUAGAUUUUGCCUUUUGUAAGACCCUUCUGCAAGGGGCUGCUGGUUUGGGGGGGGGGGAGUUGCAGAGGUUCAGAUUGCAGGGAGUAAUAUUUUGGGGGCUGCUGAAUUGGUUGUGCUUUGGAAGUUGCUGAAAACAUGCCCAGACCCAGAGAGCUGACGACAGUUGGAUGCUGCGUACAGUGGUCCUGGCAGGAGCCCAGUGGGACCAUGCCUCAGAUUCCCUCCUGUGCCUCUGCUGCCCACCCAGCCCCAGGAUCCCCAGGUGGGAGCUGGGAUGGAGGGUUUCAGCCCACAGCAAACAGUGUCAGGGAUGUCCCACAGGGCUCAAGCCCAGCCAUGGGCACCUCUGUGUCCACAGAGUCCAGCAAACACGUGCCUGAGCACCUCUGUCCCUGCUGCCACCUCUGCCCUGGGCAGGAGCCCGGCUGUGCCCAAUCCCCAGUGCCCCAGCACCACAGCUUGGGAUGCCCACCCUGAGCACCCCCUCCCCGAGACCCCCUGAAGCCCCCGAGCACACAGAACCCCAUAACACAGCAACAUUCAUAACCUGGCUGGCAAGAUUGAAUUACCUGCCCCUGGAAGAAUAAAGGAGGCAUUCAGCCAUUUCUUUAAAGUCCUUUCCCCUGCCAAGGCCAGACACCACGGUGACGGUCGAGCACAGAGGCAGAGAAACACGAGCCCUCACCUCUCCCUCCGAGGGUGACCCCGAUCUGCCCCACAUCCCCCCCUUCUCCGACCCUUUAACACCCAGGGAAGCACAUGCUUUGCUCACCCGUCACGAGCUCCCUUAUCUUUUAAUAAAACCUUUAAGAGCAGAAGUCAGGCAAUGCCGGCACAAAGGCAGCUCAACCUCCUCCCGGGACAUUAAUCAUUUUCUUUGACACGUUUUGCUAAUUAGCCAAAGCGUUUGCCUCGACAGGGGAGAAAUUGGGGCCUGGGAAAAAAAAAAAAAAAAAAGGAAAAAAACAUUACAAGAAGGGGAAGAGGUGGAAAGAGAGGAAGAAAUGGGGGAAGAAGGAGUUGACGUCACCCCUGUGCUAUCUGGCAUCCCUGGGCAUCACCUUGCUGGGAGAAAACCCAGUCCCAACCCCAUCCCAAGGAUUUUGGGGAGCUGUGAUCUGUGAUACACAUUGUACCUUCCCCAUCCCACUCCUGGUUUCCCCAUUUUGCAGCCACGGAGGGUUAUUUGAAACACACUGUUUGGGGGUUUAACUCAGGGCUUUAUCUUUUACACGGCUGUUAAUCCUCGGGACACAUGUUUCCUAUCAGCCCUUGAUAUUUAACAUACGAUAAGUGUCUUAUUAAAUCCCAGGAACACUCACCCCAAAACCCAGCCCAGGGGCACCCCAAAGGCAGACUGGGCACCCCAGCUCCAGCACAGGUUUUGGGUGUACAAGAUGUUAGACCCAAUAGGGAGAGAAAUACAGUGGAAUGAAGGCUCCUCUACACAGGAAUUCAGCCUUUGCGCUGGGUUUUGGCCCCCUGAGUAGUCACUGCUCCCAUGAGUGGGGAGAACCACUUGCAAUUUUUAAAAUAUGUUAUUUUUAAGGGUUUUUUGGCAAUGCUGUGUGACACAGGGAUGAACCCAUCCCAGGCAGGACUAGCUACUGUCCCAGCAUGACUUCCUAUUCCAAGAGUCUGACCCAGUUUUCAUAGGACCUGAUGUUUUUUGGGGGAGAGAGACCAUAGAGAGAGCAAUCCACAGUGAAAUCACUCUAAUCCACCACACUGAAAAAAUAAAAUCCCAAGGAGAAAGCAUCACCUGCUCAUGCCUCCCCCCAGCCCAGCAUGGCAAAAUAUCAGCUCUUGUCCCAUCCCUGAACAUCAGCUCUCCAUCCCAACUCCUUGGGGAAGGGCAGGACAGAAAACCACACGGCACAAUCCUCUUUCCUCCACGAAACCAAGCAUAAGGACAACAAAACAGGGUGAUAGAGCCCCCCACCCAUGGUAAGGACACCCACCCAUGGGUGUCCCCUGCCCACAGCAACCAUGCCAUUCCCAUCCACGGGUACGAGAGAGUGGGAGCAGCAUCCCAGAGCCACGUCAGUCCUUUGGGGAGCGUUAAAAAAAUAAAUCACAGCUCUUUGCUCCUCUCCAGCACAAGUUUCUCAUUGCUGUGGGAUGACACACAACGUCCCCUCCAAAACAACACGCUUUAUUAUUAUUCUGUUUCUAAUUUGGGGGUUGGAAAUGAUUUUCCAUCCCAGAAUCCAAACCAAACCAUUACUCCCCCCCCCCUCGAAAAAAAUUACUAAUGUGCUUUCCAGAGAGCAGUGGCACGGUCAGUGCUCUGCAAGGAGAGGGUGAAGGUUUGAUAAACAGGGAUGAGCACCAAGGAAUAUCCUUCUCCAUGCCGGUUUCCAAGAAAAAGCAGUAAAAAAAGCAAAUUCAGUUAAAUACAGAGCUGGCCCAGACUCCUGCUGUAACCAGCUGGGUCUGGGAUGUGCUGGUCCCACUGGGAAAGGGCCGUGCUCCAUCCCUGACCUCUGAAGGAUUUGGGGAAAAAGAGGUGAAAGGUCAGUAUGUGGGAAGCAGCGCAGUGCUGGGGACCUGACACAUAAAUCAGCAUCAUUCCCAUUUUUGGCUGUUCCAACCCAAAUCUACCCAUGGAUCCUGCUGGCUCCCUGCAAGGCAGCAAGAAGCCAGUGAGGUCCCACUUCUCUCUGUCCUGCCUGGCCUUGGGGACAGUGGGGACACUCAGACCAAGCCAGGCUGAGUCCCCAGCCCUGUCACCCCAGGUUGUGCCACAAGCCUCAUGGAGAGCCUUGGGGGGCCCCGUGCAGCCGGCAGCGCUGGCAGACGUGCCGAAACCGGCACGCAAGGAGCUGGUGGAAACCCUCCAAGCCUCCUCCGCCGUUGUAUAAGAGCCGCUCGAAAAUACUAAUCCCCAAAAAAUUCAACCCUGGGAGCGUGACCAGGCCGCCUCCCAGGCAGCGUGGUUUGCACAGCCAGCCCUGCACGCAUCCAGGGGGGAAAAUGCCUUCAGGUGAGCUCUGCAGGAAGGUCGGGGUCCCAAAUGUUUUCAUACCAAUGAUCCUCAAAAAAAAAAAAAGAGACAGGCGAGCGAGGCACAGAGGCAGAAUCACCCGGCAUGCCGAGCGCCGCUGCAAAACAAGUAGUUUUUCCAUGAGUCACCAGUGGAAAGACCAGAUCAGGCAUCCCAUGGGUGGGCUUGGCCAGAGCUGGCUCCUCAUCCCCACCACGGCUGGGAGGAUGUUUGGUGUGGGGAUGCUGCAUGUGCAGCCCCGCUCACUGCACUGCUCUCAGCCCCCAGCUUUCCUCAGGCUGCUCUGGGGUCACACUGGGAUGGAUUCAAUGGAAUCCCCAAGCGUUGGAGGGUCUCAGGAUGCGGGGAUGCAUCCUGGUGGUGUUUAGACAUGGCAAGUGGGGUUUAGUCUGUAUGAGCAGUGCAGGAUUUUCCUGACCUCCCUUUCCCUGAACUGACAGUGCACAUGGAGACCCAACAUGUGCCCUUCACCGUGGCCUCGGGGCACUUCAUUGCUCUGCCGCUGUCCCCUGCACCUCUGGUGUCCCCUAAAACCCUCAGGGAGGGAGGGAGGCAGCGACAGAAGCACAAAUAAAUAAAGAACUGGUAAAGGAGCACCACGAAACAAA